Molecule: ribosomal RNA, 420 nt
Filed under: uncultured bacterium
Lineage: Bacteria
Description: partial 16S ribosomal RNA
Rfam family: Bacterial small subunit ribosomal RNA
Source: RNAcentral
AUUUUGGACAAUGGGGGCAACCCUCAUCCAGCCAUCCCGCGUGUGCGAUGUAGGCCUGCGGGUUGUAAAGCACUUCUGGUAGGCAAGAAAAAGCCUGGGCGAAUACCCUGGGCGACUGACGGUACCUGCAUAAUAUGCACCGGCUAACGACGUGCCAGCAGCCGCGGUAAUACGUAGGGUGCAAGCGUUAAUCGGAAUUACUGGGCGUAAAGCGUGCGCAGGCGGUUCGGCAAGUAAGAUGUGAAAUCACAGGGCUUAACCUUGGAACUGCAUUCUUAGCUACCGGGCUAGAGUAUGUCAGAGGGAGGUAGAAUUCCGCGUGUAGCAGUGAAAUGCGUAGAGAUGCGGAGGAAUGCCGAUGGCGAAGGCAGCCCCCUGGGAUAAUACUGACGCUCAUGCACGAAAGCGUGGGGAGCAAAC